GCCCUCAUAGCACAGCGGUAGUGCAGCAGUUUUGUAAACUGAAGGUCGGGAGUUCAAUCCUCUCUGGGGGCA
Molecule: transfer RNA, 72 nt
Filed under: Rhodobacter ferrooxidans
Lineage: Bacteria; Pseudomonadati; Pseudomonadota; Alphaproteobacteria; Rhodobacterales
Description: Rhodobacter sp. SW2 tRNA
Rfam family: tRNA
About the family: Transfer RNA (tRNA) molecules are approximately 80 nucleotides in length. Their secondary structure includes four short double-helical elements and three loops (D, anti-codon, and T loops).
Source: Rfam by way of RNAcentral